RNAcentral lists this ribosomal RNA (655 nucleotides) under Phanodermatidae sp. TCR153. Its description in RNAcentral is "eukaryotic LSU rRNA". It matches the Rfam family "Eukaryotic large subunit ribosomal RNA", at positions 377 to 900 of the family's 3401-position model. Lineage: Eukaryota; Metazoa; Nematoda; Enoplea; Enoplida; Phanodermatidae. The record is from RNAcentral.
UGAAGAGAGAGUUUAACAGGGCGUGAAACCACUUGAAAUGAAGCAGACAGAGCUGAAAAGUCGCUUGUCGUGUUCAGUGUGAAUCGGCAUAGAAUUUUAUGUUGGUUUACAUGCAAUUUCGUCAAGUGAGCGCUACGACUGACGUUUCUUUGUUUGCGAUUGUUAAAAGAGUCGUCUGCUUAAUUGCAGGUUCCACUUUUUUCAGACGCUUGCAUUUGAGACGUUGAUGAUUUGCCGUGCUCGGAUUACUCGUAUGCGGUAAUGUUGUAUUGGUUAUGGGGUGAACCGUGUUAAUCACGAGUUGCUUAAAAUUGAUGUGACAGAGUCGUUUCUCGAGAAGCACUAAAGGUCGGUAGCGUCCGAGUCAGCCACCUGUCUGACCCGUCUUGAAACACGGACCAAGGAGUCUAACAUGCGCGCGAGUCGUUGGAUUGAAAAUUCUAAGGCGUAAUGAAAGUAAAGGUUAGUUUACUAACCGAGGUGAAAUCCCUAGUUUCGCACUGGGGCGCAUCACCGCCUCGCCUCGUGAGUAAUGUCUCGGAGGUGAAGAUAGAGCGUGUAUGUUGGGACCCGAAAGAUGGUGAACUAUGCUUGAGCAGGAUGAAGCCAGAGGAAACUCUGGUGGAGGUCCGCAGCGGUUCUGACGUGCAAAUCG